CCGACCUUAGCUCAGUUGGUAGAGCGGAGGACUGUAGCAUGUGCAGAUAAAUCCUUAGAUCGCUGGUUCGAAUCCGGCAGGUCGGA
RNAcentral lists this transfer RNA (86 nucleotides) under Oryza glumipatula. RNAcentral's name for it is "tRNA tRNA-Tyr". It matches the Rfam family "tRNA". Rfam says of the family: Transfer RNA (tRNA) molecules are approximately 80 nucleotides in length. Lineage: Eukaryota; Viridiplantae; Streptophyta; Magnoliopsida; Poales; Poaceae. The record is from Rfam by way of RNAcentral.